Long non-coding RNA from Galeopterus variegatus (Sunda flying lemur), 281 nucleotides. RefSeq lists it as uncharacterized. The transcript has 3 exons. Lineage: Eukaryota; Metazoa; Chordata; Mammalia; Dermoptera; Cynocephalidae. The record is from RefSeq and is a predicted model, not a curated record.
CAAGUUACUUAAGAGCAGCUCGAGCUGGACACCUAGAAAAGGCCCUUGACUACAUAAAAAACGGAGUUGACAUCAACAUUUGCAAUCAGAAUGGGUUGAACGCUCUCCAUCUCGCUUCCAAAGAAGGCCACGUAGAAGUGGUUUCUGAGCUGCUGCAGAGAGAAGCCAAUGUAGACGCAGCCACAAAGAAAGGGAACACAGCAUUGCACAUUGCAUCUUUGGCUGGGCAGGCAGAGGUGGUAAAGGUCUUGGUUACAAAUGGAGCCAAUGUCAACGCACAA